GACGAACGCUGGCGGCGUGCUUAACACAUGCAAGUCGAACGGAAAGGCUCCAGCUUGCUGGAGUACUCGAGUGGCGAACGGGUGAGUAACACGUGGGUGAUCUGCCCUGCACUUCGGGAUAAGCCUGGGAAACUGGGUCUAAUACCGGAUAGGACCGCACUUUGGUGUGUGUGGUGGAAAGGUUUUUCUGGUGUGGGAUGAGCUCGCGGCCUAUCAGUUUGUUGGUGGGGUAAUGGCCUACCAAGACGGCGACGGGUAGCCGGCCUGAGAGGGUGGACGGUCACAUUGGGACUGAGAUACGGCCCAGACUCCUACGGGAGGCAGAAGGGGGGAAGAUUGCACAAUGGGGGAAACCCUGAUGCAGCGACGCCGCGUGGGGGAUGAAGGCCUUCGGGUUGUAAACUCCUUUCGCUAGGGACGAAGCUUUUUGUGACGGUACCUGGAGAAGAAGCACCGGCUAACUACGUG
This 468-nucleotide ribosomal RNA is filed under the name uncultured bacterium. RNAcentral's name for it is "partial 16S ribosomal RNA". It matches the Rfam family "Bacterial small subunit ribosomal RNA", at positions 28 to 507 of the family's 1533-position model. The record is from RNAcentral.